Molecule: ribosomal RNA, 305 nt
Filed under: uncultured bacterium
Lineage: Bacteria
Description: bacterial SSU rRNA
Rfam family: Bacterial small subunit ribosomal RNA
Source: RNAcentral
AGUUCCUACGGGAGGCAGCAGUGAGGAAUAUUGGUCAAUGGUCGGGAGACUGAACCAGCCAAGCCGCGUGAGGGAUGAAGGUACAGAGUAUCGUAAACCUCUUUUGUCAGGGAACAAAGGCGGGGACGUGUCCCCGGAUGAGUGUACCUGAAGAAAAAGCAUCGGCUAACUCCGUGCCAGCAGCCGCGGUAAUACGGAGGAUGCGAGCGUUAUCCGGAUUUAUUGGGUUUAAAGGGUGCGCAGGCGGCCUGUUAAGUCAGCGGUAAAAGCCCGGGGCUCAACCCCGGCGAGCCGUUGAAACUGGG